UUUUUUAUAGUGUAAAUAACACUUAACAUUUUCAUUGUUAAAAUGAUCUUAAAUCUAAAAAUA
Molecule: transfer RNA, 63 nt
Filed under: Ixodes rubicundus
Lineage: Eukaryota; Metazoa; Arthropoda; Arachnida; Ixodida; Ixodidae
Description: tRNA-Glu
Source: RNAcentral